RNAcentral lists this transfer RNA (71 nucleotides) under Ictidomys tridecemlineatus (thirteen-lined ground squirrel). RNAcentral describes it as "Spermophilus tridecemlineatus (thirteen-lined ground squirrel) tRNA". It matches the Rfam family "tRNA". Rfam says of the family: Transfer RNA (tRNA) molecules are approximately 80 nucleotides in length. Lineage: Eukaryota; Metazoa; Chordata; Mammalia; Rodentia; Sciuridae. The record is from Rfam by way of RNAcentral.
GAGGUGGUGGCUCAGUGGUAGAGCACUUGCCUAGCAUGCGUGAGGCACUGGGUUCGAUUCUCAUCACCACA